CCGGGGGCGGGGAGGUUCGACUCGAGCGAAGCGAGAGAACGUUGCGCCAGCAACGGCCCGCAGGGCGAGCCACGAAGUGGCGAGUAAUCCUCUAUCACCGACCA
This 104-nucleotide small RNA is filed under the name Escherichia coli. Its description in RNAcentral is "partial RtT sRNA". It matches the Rfam family "RtT RNA", at positions 29 to 130 of the family's 130-position model. From Rfam's summary of the family: This family represents a bacterial cis-regulatory element known as RtT RNA. The exact function of RtT is unknown although it is thought that it may be involved in changing the cellular response in relation to amino acid starvation. The record is from RNAcentral. Lineage: Bacteria; Pseudomonadati; Pseudomonadota; Gammaproteobacteria; Enterobacterales; Enterobacteriaceae.